GAUGAACGCUGGCGGCGUGCCUAAUACAUGCAAGUCGAGCGAACGGACGAGAAGCUUGCUUCUUUGAUGUUAGCGGCGGACGGGUGAGUAACACGUGGAUAACCUACCUAUAAGACUGGGAUAACUUCGGGAAACCGGAGCUAAUACCGGAUAAUAUUUUGAACCGCAUGGUUCAAAAGUAAAAGACGGUCUUGCUGUCACUUAUAGAUGGAUCCGCGCUGCAUUAGCUAGUUGGUAAGGUAACGGCUUACCAAGGCAACGAUGCAUAGCCGACCUGAGAGGGUGAUCGGCCACACUGGAACUGAGACACGGUCCAGACUCCUACGGGAGGCAGCAGUAGGGAAUCUUCCGCAAUGGGCGAAAGCCUGACGGAGCAACGCCGCGUGAGUGAUGAAGGUCUUCGGAUCGUAAAACUCUGUUAUUAGGGAAGAACAUAUGUGUAAGUAACUGUGCACAUCUUGACGGUACCUAAUCAGAAAGCCACGGCUAACUACGUG
This 497-nucleotide ribosomal RNA is filed under the name uncultured bacterium. Its description in RNAcentral is "partial 16S ribosomal RNA". It matches the Rfam family "Bacterial small subunit ribosomal RNA", at positions 28 to 507 of the family's 1533-position model. The record is from RNAcentral.